GGGGGUGAAAAGGGCUCGACUUAAGCGAGUCGGGUAAAAGUAGCAUGCCGCGGACGCAUGGUUAGCCGCGUUAUCAACCCGUGCACAAUAUAAACGCAAACACGCAAGUGUCUCGUUUAGGAACAAUGGUUGCGCCAGCAAUGGCAAGACCAAUGUUCGUACCAGCCUUCGGACUUAAUUAGUCCGGAGCCUCUCAUUAGGGCUCGCCUGUGGCCUUCUUGAGAGCCGACAGCAGGCUGGUCACGCGUAAUUAGCCUUUGUAAGCGUGACGAGAGCAUAAAAGGAUGCGCUUUGCAAAUCCUGCCUUGUAGGAGUUGCAGGGCUAAGCAUAAAAUACGAGGCUAAGCAUGUAGCGACUCUUAUCUGAUUUCUUGAGGACGGCGGUUCGAUUCCGCCCACCUCCACCA
RNAcentral lists this small RNA (407 nucleotides) under Candidatus Omnitrophota bacterium. RNAcentral's name for it is "transfer-messenger RNA". It matches the Rfam family "transfer-messenger RNA". From Rfam's summary of the family: Bacterial tmRNA, also known as 10Sa RNA or SsrA, is named for its dual tRNA and mRNA-like properties. Lineage: Bacteria; Pseudomonadati; Candidatus Omnitrophota. The record is from RNAcentral.